Molecule: long non-coding RNA, 1694 nt
Organism: Nycticebus coucang (slow loris)
Lineage: Eukaryota; Metazoa; Chordata; Mammalia; Primates; Lorisidae
Exons: 3
Source: RefSeq, a predicted model, not a curated record
GGAAAAUAUCAAACAGAUACAAAUAAAACACCCUGCAGGGGAGGGAGCGAGGGGGAGGAGGGCAGUCAAGGCUUCCUACGGACUCCACGUAUACCCUACUCCAAUAAUGAGUCUUCCCAAGGAGGCGGAUCGCAGAGGAGCCGGGUGAGCACGUGCAAUGAAGCCCAGCCCUGUGGGCAGGGUCCAGGAGAGGCGGAGUUUGGAGGUAUUUGCUAGGGCCUUCCUCCGCGGCUGCGGGACAAAUUGGACCGGAGAUUGAAGGACUUAAGUUUAACUCGAGAUGGGCAAACCAAGCUCCAGGCCAUGGAUUCCAUUAAAGAAAACCCCAGGCUCUUAACUUCAGGUGUUUUUAAGCUCUCCAUCUAAAAAUGACUCUUUACCCAGCCUUGUUCGCCUUGCCCCUCCGCAGCUUCAAAUGGAGUUGAUUCGAACAGGGACGGAAUCCAAUUGGAAGAUUCCAAAUGCCCGGUCCUCUGCGUCAGUUUCCCGAAGAUUUCCAGAAGCAAAAUCCGAUACUUAGUAGCUUCUCCCCUUCUCCCGGCUGUCUACCUCCCAUGGCCACCAGGUGGCGCGCGGCCACCGGUCACUGGUCCUGCCGGGUGUCUGCCUUCUGCUACCCUCUCAGGGAAGGACUCUUCGCGGCUGCCGCCCAAGGACCUAAGCCUUACCUGGCCUGCUGGACGACAAAGAGCAAGAACACUGGUGCUCUGCCUGCCUCUGUUUCGCUUCAUCACUGAAGACUCGUUCGCUUUGCCUUCCUCCCACCCGCCCUGCCAGUCCUGUGGUUCCUCUAUGUCAUUUUUGCUUAAUUUUAAGUCCUCAUCCUGUCAUUCAUACCUCUGUCUGGGCUGACCCCUUCCCUCACCUGCAACGCAGUAGGUUUUACAACACUUACCUGCACUUGCGAGUGGCUGUAACUUACCAACCGGUAUUUCAUCCUUAAUCUGUGUGGGCCACCGUUCUGAGUUAUUUACAUGUGAAUGCUGGGUAAUCUAAAGCUCAUAUCCACCUCUGUAAGGUAACUCCAGUAUUGUCCCUAUCAUAUACUGAUGAAAUCACCCAGAAGUUAUGGGGAUUCCAACCCCAGUCAAUCAGACACCAGAACCUGUACCCUUGGGGUCUUCAAGCUGGAAUGCCCCUGACUUCAUCCAGCCCACUCCCCAAACUCCUAUUCAUCAUUCAUGAUCUUGUUCAAAUAUCUCUUCACCUUCCUUAGUACCUCCCGCUAAGGAACAGCUAGGUUUCCUCUGUGUUCCCACGUGAUUCCGUUGAGCUGUCUGUAAGAAAUGAUUUCUCUGGGAUUGCUGCCACACUACCAUUGCUGGAGCCACCGAGGCAGGCUGUUCCUCCCAAGAACAGGGAGCAGUGCUUCUGGACUAGAAGAGAGCCCUUAGCUUUUUGGGAAAGUGGAAGACAGAACGUGGAUCCUCUGCACCAUUUCCCUCAGCCCUGGGUUCUGAAAUAUGUCAGGACCACAUGGCUUUCCUAAGGGCCAGAUUUUCCCUCCUUUAUCACAGGCCUCUGGCAGUAGUGAGUUCCCCUUCCGUGGAGAUUCAGUCACCAUCUAAACGGCCCUGCAGAAACCACCUGCAGCGCCGGGGGGUUUCAUUUGUGGAUGAAAAUUCUAAAUCAGCCCUCAGUGAUGGGCAGAAGAGUUCAAACACUCAGCCCCUGGAAGGAACUUCUCCUUGAAC